AUACGGAGGAUCCGAGCGUUAUCCGGAUUUAUUGGGUUUAAAGGGAGCGUAGGCGGACGCUUAAGUCAGUUGUGAAAGUUUGCGGCUCAACCGUAAAAUUGCAGUUGAUACUGGGUGUCUUGGGUACAGUAGAGGCAGGCGGAAUUCGUGGUGUAGCGGUGAAAUGCUUAGAUAUCACGAAGAACUCCGAUGGCGAAGGCAGCCUGCUGGACUGUAACUGACGCUGAUGCUCGAAGGUGUGGGUAUCAAACAGGAGUAGAUACCCUGGUAGUCCACACAGUAAACGAUGAAUACUCGCUGUUUGCGAUAUACAGUAAGCGGCCAAGCGAAAGCGUUAAGUAUUCCACCUGGGGAGUACGCCGGCAACGGUGAAACUCAAAUGAAUUGACGGGG
This 393-nucleotide ribosomal RNA is filed under the name uncultured bacterium. RNAcentral's name for it is "partial 16S ribosomal RNA". It matches the Rfam family "Bacterial small subunit ribosomal RNA", at positions 523 to 918 of the family's 1533-position model. The record is from RNAcentral.